Dromaius novaehollandiae (emu) is the source of this 581-nucleotide long non-coding RNA. RefSeq lists it as uncharacterized. The record is from RefSeq and is a predicted model, not a curated record. Lineage: Eukaryota; Metazoa; Chordata; Aves; Casuariiformes; Dromaiidae. The transcript is spliced from 4 exons.
UUGAUCCUGAACUGAGGGAAUGAAAGGACUUUUUUAGGUUAGCAGCAAUCACAGCUGAAAUUUGUGCUGGACAAGCCCUCUCUGAUUUAAGUCUGCAGAUCUCCCACAAGUGGAAUGAGGCAUCCCUCCGCCACUCAGUUUGACAGGGGAACAAAGUGAUCUACUCAUGACAGCAGUAGUCCCUGGAAAAAUGAAGCAAGCAGGGCUUAGACACUCAUCGUCCUUGAGAAAUCAUGCCCCUCAUAAGAUGUCUUCACAGUGAAAACAGCGGUACCUUGCAAGGCUGACAGCUAGAGAUGAAACGAAGUGUUUGAUUUCUCCAAACAGCUGACGUUCUGUGCAAAUGCCACUGUGUGUAUCUGAGUGUGUUUAAGAGCAUACCUUCCUUCUUUUUCACAAUAAUGCAGGAUGAUAUUUAAAAAAACAUAGUUCUUGUACUAAGUGAACUUACGGGUGAUUAAGAGCAAACAGAAUGUCGGGGAAAGGUUAUGCACCAAAAUGUGCCUCAUUGUAAUUCCACAUUUUUUUCAGCAAACUCCUCAAUCAUAUUCUAAUAAAAACGGCUUGCUGUAUUAAAUGUA